UGCAACUGACGCUGAGGCUAGAAAAGUGCGGGUAUCAAACAGGAUUAGAUACCCUGGUAGUCCGCACAGUAAACGAUGAAUACUCGCUGUCGGCGAUAUACAGUCGGCGGCCAAGCGAAAGCAUUAAGUAUUCCACCUGGGGAGUACGCCGGCAACGGUGAAACUCAAAGGAAUUGACGGGGGCCCGCACAAGCGGAGGAACAUGUGGUUUAAUUCGAUGAUACGCGAGGAACCUUACCCGGGCUUGAACUGCACCCGACGGACAAAGAGAUUUGUCUUCCGCAAGGCGGGUGUGGAGGUGCUGCAUGGUUGUCGUCAGCUCGUGCCGUGAGGUGUCGGCUUAAGUGCCAUAACGAGCGCAACCCUUCUCUUCAGUUGCCAUCAGGCAGAGCUGGGCACUCUGGAGACACUGCCAUCGUAAGAUGCGAGGAAGGUGGGGAUGACGUCAAAUCAGCACGGCCCUUACGUCCGGGGCUACACACGUGUUACAAUGGGAGGUACAGAAGGCCGCGACCCGGCGACGGGAAGCCAAUCCCCAAAUCCUCUCUCAGUUCGGACUGGAGUCUGCAACCCGACUCCACGAAGCUGGAUUCGCUAGUA
This 600-nucleotide ribosomal RNA is filed under the name uncultured bacterium. Its description in RNAcentral is "bacterial SSU rRNA". It matches the Rfam family "Bacterial small subunit ribosomal RNA", at positions 735 to 1340 of the family's 1533-position model. The record is from RNAcentral.